GCCGAAGUAGCUCAGGGGUAGAGCGCCACGCUCAUAACGUGGAGGUCGUGGGUUCGAAACCCACCUCCGGCA
RNAcentral lists this transfer RNA (72 nucleotides) under Candidatus Aenigmatarchaeota archaeon. Its description in RNAcentral is "tRNA-Met". It matches the Rfam family "tRNA". Rfam says of the family: Transfer RNA (tRNA) molecules are approximately 80 nucleotides in length. Their secondary structure includes four short double-helical elements and three loops (D, anti-codon, and T loops). The record is from RNAcentral. Lineage: Archaea; Nanobdellati; Candidatus Aenigmatarchaeota.